AUGUGGAGAGAAGUUUUCACUCGGGAAGAGGGGGAGCUGCUCAUAAAUCUCGUUCGAUCAAACCCGGCGUUGUAUUCCCCGGAACACCCAGACUACAAGAACCCAGCUUUGAAAGCGGCCAUUUGGGAAAGUAUCAGCGAGGCUGUCAACAAAACUGAGAAAGAAUGCAAGUUCAAGUGGAAGUAUAUGCGCGACUAUUAUAUCAAGAGGAAGCGCCAAAAGAGACUGCCUACUGAAAGGGACCCAUCUGUCUGUCAUCUCCUAUCAUUCCUAAGUGAUCCCUUAGAAACAGGCCCGAUGGCUGGAAAUAUUCCUACAGAAACCAACAACGAGAGUAAUGAUGGUACUUCAGAGGAAGACGACGAAGCCAGUGACGACACAACGCACGAGGAAGAAGAAGCUUCGAAUCGUGUCAACGAAACACCUGGAAACCCUAAAUUGAGACUGAGGGGAACCGCCCCGACCGUGACCUCCACAUCCCGAAAUUCAGCCACAUCAAUAUCCAGAGUCUCGUCAAGGAGCAGGACUCUCGGUAAAAGGAAGCUGGUCUCUCGCGGCAGGGCCAUCGACAAAUUCCGACGGCAAACCAAGGAAUGCAAUGAAUCAACUAAAACUAUCAUCUCCAGCAGAUCUCGAUCUCAGCCAGCUCCAACGGACCCAAUCGACGCCUACUUCAGCGGGAUUUUAGCGACUGUAAAAAACCUACCCCCGCUCCUCCAGCUCGAGGCGAAAAGGGACAUCUCCAACAUUGUUUUUAAUUUGGAGUUCAGGGCUUUACAAGACCAAAUAACCCUCCCUGUUGCGUCGGUACCGACUGCUUCCACUGAUCCAAUACCACCUUCCGAUGUAUUCGAGACCACGACUCAUUCUUUCACAAAUGUUUAAUUCUCUCCCCUCUGCAGAUGCCUUUCCUACCGUUACCUUCAGUGCUGUUAAGUAACUGGAAUUCUUGUAAAUAAUUUCUUCGUUAAAGCGUAUUUUUUUCUAAAUGAUUUCCUCGAUAAAGCGUAUUUUUUCCUGAAUAAUUCCCUGGAUUAAGCGUACUUUAUUUCUAACUCACUUCAGUGUCACACUAAUUUCCUCUCGUCCUGUGAUCGAACAUGGGUGGCAAUUCUUGCCGAAAACUUCCACUUUCUUCUACUUCUCAGAUGCUCUCAGAUUUAAACUUGCGCGAAGAUAACAGAUUUUCUUCCUUUAUGCAAUUUCACGAAGGUAAAGAAAAUAUUCUCUCGGGCGACGAUACAAAACCAUUUCACAGAUCAAGUCGCUUAUUGUCUCUGCAGGGUGAAAAGAAAGUCCGAGCGGGGGGCUUUCGCAUAAUUCACAAAAUUUUCAAAAUUUUAAAGCAUCUAUGACGCAUUUCGAGUCAAUUCCGUCAUGAAUAAUUAUCAAAUACAAGCGUCCUCCCUUCUUCAGGGUUGCCACAGAAUUUAGAAAAUGAAAUUCCCUGACAUUCCCCUGAUUUUCCUGACACAUUUUGGUGAAAUUCCUGACAAUUGAAGAUCUGACGGAUGGUUAAGAAGGCAUGAUUGAAAAUAGUUUUCAGGUCUUUUUCAAAAUCUCAAACCCGUUCUAGAAAGCAAAUGAAGGUGAUUUAACAAAUUUGUCCUGACAUUUUCGUCAUUUUCCCUGACAUUUCCCGGUUUUCCCUGACUGUGGCAACCCUGUUUCUUCUUCCCUCCCGUCUCUCUUCCCUUUCCCCCUUACUGGCGUAUGCCUCCCCCCCCCGGGGGGGGGGGGGGGGGGGGGGGGAAACCGUCUACACUAGAAAAUACACAAACUAAUUGCGGUAGACGCACUUGUACGACAGUAUGUUGGGAGUUUUUUAGCCAACGUGCGUUAAAAAUUCAGCAUAAAGCUGAAAAUCUCAAUACAGAGGGAAAAAGCUCGUUCGAGCACAGUUUUCCCUCAAAGAGAUGUGCUGUUUGGAGCAACACUAGUUACGUCCAUUCAGGAAGGACUCUACAGACGCGUUUCGGCCUUGUUGGACCAAUCCUCAGUGCAGUGCAGCCUCCUGAAUUUCCUGCUCUGCUACCAAGCUAAAAGACUCCAACAUACUAGAAAAUACCCAAAGUUCGAGGGGAUAAAGAGAAAGUCAAGGCAAACCCGAAUCUGACAAAAAAUCGCCGAGGUGAAAUGUGGCGCCUCGUGGAAGCGGCUUGGCAGGAGUGCGUGGCCUGACUUGGCCUCAGCUUGCUCUCCAGCGUUGCCGCUCGGCUGCCAAAAUUCACCGGAUCCCAUCACGAGAAAUGCCCUUUUUAACCUAAAACGGCACCAGCGCCGCUCAGCUGGUCGCGGCAGCGCAGCACAGGGCACAGCCAACACGGGGGAGAUGCACGAGUGCUGCGCUUGUCUUACUCGGCGAAAACCACGCGACUGGCUCAGAAACCCCUAUCAGAUAAGCGGUUCUGGCGCAGAAGCCAAUUCCGACCCGGAAACUCCGUGCAUAUCGACCGUGAGUCUCGGGGUUAACUAACCCCAAAUGCUUGAGGUCAAAUUGACGACUCCGGAGUCUGGGUUCCUCUCCGGAGAGGAACCUCGAAACAUCUUGAGUGGCGUCGGGUGGAGCCGAGACUUGGUUCAUAGACCGGAAGCGAACGGAGUUCUUGCAAGGAGCGAGCGUUUUCGUCUGCUUCUCGAACAGUGGCGUGGCGUGCUUUGCGAUAUAUCGACUGAUCUGCCAUUUAAGCCAAUGUAAGAGGAUCGAUAAAUAGGGUGUUCGCAGCGAACACCUUAAUAAUCGAUUAUUCAACACAGCUUCAAAUGGGGAAAUAUCGAUAGAUCGCAAAGCACGCCACGCCACUGUUCUCGAACCCUCUGUAAAAUUUGAUAAGACACACGGACGCCGGGAAAAUACCUUUGAAACCUCGCACUGGCUAGAGUCCCUUUAUACCCAGAGUUACGACAACUCACAUUUCGUUGGGCUGAAAGUGGCCUAAAAAAAAUCCAAUUCUGAUUGGUUCUCGCUCAUGGAGUCACAAACGAGGGCACCAAGAUUGCGGUGACUCGAAUGUGAACAAAAAUAAUGAAAAUAUUACCUAAUUGUGGUUUAUCAAGAGUAAAUUGUUAUUUCCGUCGGUCCAAAAUGAAAAUAGAUUAAAAAAUUAUUCACAAACCAAUCUCAUUUUCUUUUUAAUUGAUCAAUUUUGUUGAUGCUGUUGUUUUCGGAUGACAGACAUCGCAGGAUUCCUUAUCCUUAUCCCUCAAUAUCGUACGUUUGGGUGCACUCGUUUGUGCCUCCACGGCCAGCCAAGGCCGGCUGCCAGUCAGCUGAUAAUCGAGUGUCUUAACUCUGGGUAUAAAGGGACUCCAGCACUGGCAAAUGGAUUGCAAGUACUCUAAUCUGCAGGCCGAUUACUGAAAUUGAUGGACAAAGAAGACAAAAGAGAUAUGGAGGGAUCCUAUUGGUGGAAGCGGGUGGUUGCAAUGGACAAAAGAGGUAGGUAAUAGACUAACUGACAGCAACCCACGAGAGACCCGAUAGUUAGUCCAUCAUUUUUUCACUAAGUCAAUAGGAAUCUGCCAUUUCAAUCAAUAGGAUUGCUCCAUACUCCCCACGUCUUUUUGUCUAUCGCUUUGUCUAUCAAUUUCAAUAAUUAGUCGGCUAGCGAGACAGUCGUGUUGAUUGAAAUAAGCAUGAAAUAAGCACGAUUGUGUGGAAAUCAGCUGAAGGAUGAGCCCCACAGCUCCAUCAUCUACCAUCAAAUUUUUGCAGGCCGCAGAAAUUUGAUGGUAUAGGUGGUGCGCACCAGUCACCAUUUGAUCGGAAUUUGAUGGGAAUUUGAGCGAGUAACCAGCCCAGUAGAGCCAGCGCUACAACCCUACCUACCUCAAAGGAAGCCGACAUAGUUUGACAGUUGAGUUGCUGAGAUCGUCUCUUUCAAUGGGCAUGACUUUUCUCUGGUAGUUCAUUUUGGUCAAAUUAUGAAACUCUCCAUCCUGUCGGCUAG
This 3950-nucleotide long non-coding RNA is filed under the name Bemisia tabaci. RNAcentral's name for it is "lncRNA ENSSSA3NGG006214". The record is from RNAcentral. Lineage: Eukaryota; Metazoa; Arthropoda; Insecta; Hemiptera; Aleyrodidae.